Molecule: ribosomal RNA, 216 nt
Filed under: Glomeromycotina sp.
Lineage: Eukaryota; Fungi; Glomeromycota
Description: partial small subunit ribosomal RNA
Rfam family: Eukaryotic small subunit ribosomal RNA (bases 44-216)
Source: RNAcentral
GGGUCAGUAGGUUGGUCGUGCCACCGGUACGUACUGGUCUCACUGAUUCCUCCUUCCUGAAGAACCGUAAUGCCAUUAAUUUGGUGUUGCGGGGAAACAGGACUGUUACUUUGAAAAAAUUAGAGUGUUUAAAGCAAGCUAACGCUUGAAUACAUUAGCAUGGAAUAAUGAAAUAGGACGACCGAUCCUAUUUUGUUGGUUCCUAGGAUUGACGUA